CAGUCGCCGCGGUAAUACGAAGGGUGCAAGCGUUAAUCGGAAUUACUGGGCGUAAAGGGUGCGUAGGCGGUUGUUUAAGUCUGUUGUGAAAUCCCCGGGCUCAACCUGGGAAUGGCAAUGGAAACUGGACGGCUAGAGUGUGUUAGAGGAUGGUGAAAUUCCCGGUGUAGCGGUGAAAUGCGUAGAUAUCGGAAGGAACACCUGUGGCGAAAGCGGCUCACUGGACCACAACUGACGCUGAGGCACGAAAGCUAGGGGAGCAAACAGGAUUAGAUACCCCCGUAGUCCCUGUCUCUUAUAU
This 301-nucleotide ribosomal RNA is filed under the name uncultured bacterium. RNAcentral describes it as "partial 16S ribosomal RNA". It matches the Rfam family "Bacterial small subunit ribosomal RNA", at positions 509 to 809 of the family's 1533-position model. The record is from RNAcentral.